UACGUAGGGGGCGAGCGUUGUCCGGAAUUACUGGGUGUAAAGGGAGCGUAGGCGGGAAGGCAAGUUGGAUGUGAAAACUAUGGGCUCAACCCAUAACGUGCAUUCAAAACUGUUUUUCUUGAGUGAAGUAGAGGCAAGUGGAAUUCCUAGUGUAGCGGUGGAAUGCGUAGAUAUUAGGAGGAACACCAGUGGCGAAGGCGACUUGCUGGGCUUUAACUGACGCUGAUGCUCGAAAGUGUGGGGAUCAAACAGGAUUAGAUACCCCUGUAGUCCCUGA
RNAcentral lists this ribosomal RNA (277 nucleotides) under uncultured prokaryote. Its description in RNAcentral is "partial 16S ribosomal RNA". It matches the Rfam family "Bacterial small subunit ribosomal RNA", at positions 524 to 800 of the family's 1533-position model. The record is from RNAcentral.